UACGGAGGGGGCAAGCGUUAUUCGGAAUUAUUGGGCGUAAAGGGCGCGUAGGCGGCUAGAUGUGUCAAAGGUGAAAUCCCUCGGCUCAACUGAGGAACUGCCUUUGAAACUGUCUGGCUUGAGGCCGGGAGAGGGUAGCGGAAUUCCCAGUGUAGCGGUGAAAUGCGUAGAUAUCGAGAGGAACACCAAUUGCGAAGGCAGCUCGCUGGGACGUAACUGACGCUGAGACGCGAAAGCGUGGGGAGCAAACAGG
Molecule: ribosomal RNA, 253 nt
Filed under: uncultured bacterium
Lineage: Bacteria
Description: partial 16S ribosomal RNA
Rfam family: Bacterial small subunit ribosomal RNA
Source: RNAcentral